Long non-coding RNA from Raphanus sativus (radish), 2766 nucleotides. RefSeq lists it as uncharacterized. Lineage: Eukaryota; Viridiplantae; Streptophyta; Magnoliopsida; Brassicales; Brassicaceae. The record is from RefSeq and is a predicted model, not a curated record. The transcript has 3 exons.
AUUUUGUUUUGUUAGUUUUGAAAUUAUGAUAUUGUAUUUUGCCAAUACUUUUUGUGACGGGUUGUCCCGUGGACCCCGGCUGAGCAUCUACUAUAACUCCUCACAUGUGCGUCCCUCACGGGUCACGGCAUAUGUAAGUUAUUGUUGUGUUUAAUGAAAGGCACCUGAUACAGGAAGGCCUGACUUAUUUCUGGGUAGAAUAGGUGCUGUUAGGAGAGUUACAGCAGCAGAAGCUGAGAUGGCUGUUCAAGGGAUUUGAUCACGGGACUACUAGUUGAAGAGACGAUGAGACAGAGAGAAAAGUAUUGAGGAGGAAAAUGUGUCUUGUGAAGAGAGAGUUUGAGUCGGUUAAAAGCUAUGUCAGUACUUUUACUAAUGUCAGAGAAACAACCAUCGAAGAGCUCUUUGGACCGCCAGUCUCUUUGGACCGCCAGUCUCAUAAACUUACAUUCAUCAACAUUACAAAUUUUACCAUCGUCUCUAGUUUAUGUGUUUUUGUUAAUGGCCAAGAAGGUUGGUGACACAGCUAGAAGGAAGGAGAGAAGGCGCAAAAGGAGGUUGAAGUUCUUGAUCCAAAAAAAAGAAAGAAAAAAAAGGAGGUUGAAGUUCAGAACUGAUGGAAGAAAAUGUGAAACUGACGGCACCUUUUGACAAGAAAGAAGCUCAGCUUCUUGCUUUGAACAACAAUAUACUGAAAACAUAACUGGACUGUAUAUGUACGUGGAGCUACAGUGAGGAUCUUCCUGUGGUUAUAACGAAGAGUAUGGUUGGGGAGAAUUAUAGAAUCAAUAUCACCAUCUUCUUCCACGCCUAUAUAUGUUUAAAGGAGUUGAAGUUGUGAGUACCUCUUUGUGAUUGUGAAUCUCAGUGGAGUAAGUUGUGUGUAUACAUCUUCUAGGAUCUAUUGAACUUCUUCCAGGUCUUACAUGUUAAAGCUUAACCCGGAGAUUCUACAGUGGUCCUCAGUCUCCCAACAUACCCGUCAUGGCUGAAUCUUACAGUAAGAUUGUCUUCCCUGACCCUUUUGAAAGUUUCUUCUCCCAUGUGUGUUAUUACCCGGCUGUUCACUUCUCCAACCUCCCAGAUGGAUUUAACCUGCUCAUUAGGUGCAUUCUUGUUCUGGUGGUAUCUAGUGGAAGCAGUCGUUAUUGCUUAGUCAUGAUAAUUAUCUUCACUCGCUAAUAGAACGCACUAUGAGAUGGAAAAAAGGAGACAACAAGGAUCAUCCGGUUUGAAUUUGGUCUUUAAAGUUCUCAGACGCAGAUGAGCUAAAAAGACAGUUGAUCAUGGUAGUCUAGAUAAGCAACCCGAAGAUUUUUAGUUUUCCUCUGGCUAUGAAUGUUUUAACAACAGAGAGAAGUUGGCUAGGAAUUUUUUGUAUGAUACACUUCAUAUGCGUCACUGGGGAGAUAUCUUAAUAUCUGGACACCUUUUCUUAACGGUUACAACUUGUAGCAAUAUGGUUGUAUGUGACAGUAAACAAUGCAUAUGCAAUAGCUCAUCUUUUUUUUUUUUUUUUUGCGUAUGCAUUAGACAGUAAACAUGCAUUUGCAUUAGCUCAUCUUAUUUGCGACUUCCUCAAAUCUUCUCUUGUCAUAUGUUAGUACAUUGGGUGCAAACUUUAUGUUACAAAUUUUCUUCUAAAGCAUAAGCAUCACAGGUUUGUGAAUGUGUGAAAAAAGAAGAAGUAAACUGAGUUUUUUUUAAAAAAAAAUUUGUGUGGGAAUUUGCAUGGUCUCUCUAAUGGUAUUUUUCUUGCCUUCUCUGAAUAGUAGAGGAGGCAAUGGAGGAAGCAAGCGAGGAGGGAUGAGUUCUUCUUGAAACAUGACCUCAAAAACAAGUAAUUUCUCCUUCUGUUCUAUAUGUAAGUCAUCUUCUUAUCGUCGACAAAAAAAAAGUCAUCCUCUUAUCCUGUAUUUUCAUUUUCAUUCAAUAGGACAUGUAUGGCGUCGAUUUAGGACUUCGUAGAUUUUUUUUAGUUUCUUUUCUAUGUUAGAAGAAGCACCACAUUAACUUCUCAUGUGUAGGGACUUGUGACACUGACAUUUUUCAGGCUCUUGUUUAGUGAAGCCCAAAAUUUCAUAAUAGUCACAUGUGACUUGUAAAGACAAAGAAGUUGAAAUCCUUGUUGUUCUUUGUGGCCAUAGAACAUGGGAAAUUAACUUCCCCACUUUAGGUUAUCCAAAGAAGAGAACAAAAAAUCAAAUUGGUGGCUCAAAUUGGAUGGUGGGGAAUAUACGUCUGCUUAUGUGUUAUGGCACUCUUUGCUUAGAUGGUGUUUUAGGUUUUUGGAUAGUAGCCACAUGGGUAAGUCUUAUGGUUUCAGGUCAAUGGACCCUCACACUUAAGCCCCUUCUGAUUUCUCUUGGCUCUGCUUUUUCUAAUAUGUUUUCUUCUUCUUGCCUCCUUUUUCAUUACCAUUUUUAGUUAAUUUAUUUUGCGGAGGUACUUGUUGAACAUCACAUGCCUUACUUUCCCCCUCUUUUGUUGGUGGGUCUAUGAGUUUACUAACUUCUCAAACAUUCUUCAAAGUUACAACAGUGUUUAGUUGCAGAAAUUUAAACUGAUAAUAACAGACUUUCUGAUCUGCCUUUUCUGGUUUUGUUGUUCUAGAUGUUUAUGUGUGCUGUGUUUGUGUUUGGACUCUGUUUAGUCCGUCGGCUCUGUUUUCUAGGAUCGUUGUAUCUCCGGAAUUUGUAUAAGUUUCAUCAUGGUUAAUAUAAUCAUCUUUAGUAUGUAAAAAAAAACAUGUUACUUCCAAGUUGG